This 254-nucleotide ribosomal RNA is filed under the name uncultured bacterium. Its description in RNAcentral is "partial 16S ribosomal RNA". It matches the Rfam family "Bacterial small subunit ribosomal RNA", at positions 524 to 776 of the family's 1533-position model. The record is from RNAcentral.
UACGGGGGGAGCAAGCGUUGUUCGGAUUUACUGGGCGUAAAGGGCGCGUAGGCGGCCAGCGCAAGUCAGUUGUGAAAUCUCCGGGCUUAACUCGGAACGGUCAACUGAUACUGCGCGGCUAGAGUGCAGAAGGGGCAACUGGAAUUCUCGGUGUAGCGGUGAAAUGCGUAGAUAUCGGAAGGAACAUCAGUGGCGAAAGCGACUGCCUGGACCAAUACUGACGCUCAUGUGCGAAAGCGUGGGGAGCAAACAGG